GACGAACGCUGGCGGCGUGCUUAACACAUGCAAGUCGAACGGAAAGGCCCUGCUUGCAGGGUACUCGAGUGGCGAACGGGUGAGUAACACGUGGGUGAUCUGCCCUGCACUUCGGGAUAAGCCUGGGAAACUGGGUCUAAUACCGGACAGGAGCCAUCUUCAGUGUGAUGGUUGGAAAGUUUUUUCGGUGUAGGAUGAGCUCGCGGCCUAUCAGCUUGUUGGUGGGGUUAUGGCCUACCAAGGCGGCGACGGGUAGCCGGCCUGAGAGGGUGGACAGCAAGAUUGAGAGUGAAAAGAGGACCGGAAUGCUCAGGGGAGCAAGAGGGGGGAAUAGUAGCAAGAGGAGCGAAACCAAAUCCAGCCACCCCGCAUGGGAGAAGAUGGCCUUCGGGUUGGAAACGACUUGCGAUAGGAACAGUGAAUUUUUUCACGGUAGAUUGAAAAGGAGCACCAGGAAACAACGU
This 464-nucleotide ribosomal RNA is filed under the name uncultured bacterium. RNAcentral's name for it is "partial 16S ribosomal RNA". It matches the Rfam family "Bacterial small subunit ribosomal RNA", at positions 28 to 506 of the family's 1533-position model. The record is from RNAcentral.